AGGAGAAACAGGUGGAAGAUGAAGGCAAUCCUUGGUGAAGAUCUCUUAGAAUUCUUAAACCCCUCCCACGCCCCAACGCUGGGUGCGAGACAAGAGCCAUGAGAAGAUAUGGGGCAGAGGGAGACCGUCUCUCAGAAGGUCUUCACUUCCAGGAAAUCAACCCACCAUGAAUCCCCAGAAAAAGCAGAAGGGAUGCUUUGUAUUCCCAUCUUGCAGAAAAUGGAAAUGGCUGAAGGCAGAGAUAGGGCGCUGCAAUUUCUCCCAUCUUCGUGUCUGCGUCAAGUAGUGCGGUAUCUGAGAAGGAUGGAUGGUGUAAUGGGUGAAGAGGUGUGAAUGGAUCCAGGGACAUCGAGUCGAAAUAUGAGGCCACGUGUGAAAUUAUUUGUCUGAAGGAAGGUUUAUUAAAACAUCCCGCGUUCACAACAGCAAGACUUGGGAAAGCUUUUGUGAGCAGUUCUUGACACUUUAAUACCAAACCCAGCUCUCCUUAUUUCACUACGUAGCUUUUUAAAGUCAGACAUGAAUCUGAGUGCUGGAAGCAAUCACACCAAUUAGUGAAGCUCUGUGACAUGUUUUGUGUUUCUUCUCAGAAAAGAAACGGGACACUGGAAAUGGACACUAGCAACGACAGCACUCAUCCCCGCUCUGCUGGGCAUGCACGUCGUUAGGGGCUGUGCAACCACUGCUGUGCCAUCCUUACGGGCUUUACAUAAAUAGCCUCCUGUUUUUUUAAAUAAAUUAUAUUAUAAAUUACGAUCAAUUAUGAACCAUCCAGCAAAAAUGUUAAUCAUCCCCAAAUCUCCAAAGGGUGCUGACUGUACCGACUUGAAUCCUGAGCUUCCAAUGGUAACCUGGUGGCUCCCAAAGUUGUUAGUUUGAAGAGGGUGUGUACCCACUGGGAUCGAUGGAUGGAUUGAUUGAUUUUUUCAGGUUUAAUUAUAUAUUUUAGAGAGAGAGUAUACAGCAUUGGGAAGGGCAGAGGGAGAGAGAAUCUCAAAACAACUCUGCUGAGCUCAAUGCAGGGCUCAGUCCCAUGACCUUGAGAUCAUGACCUGAGCUGGAACCGUGAGUCCAAUGAUUGACUGACCAAACCACCCAGGCACACCCCGACUGGGAUCAAUUUAUAAUGAAUCAAAGCUUACCUGAGUCUGUAGGAAGAUAUGCAACUUGCUCCUGGGAAGUCCUUUCAUGUCGCCGAUUAAAUGUUCUUAAGAGAGCAAGUCAGUAUUUUUAGGUGUGUUUAAUCAAUAGGAUCGGGAAAAAUUGAAUUUUGUUUCCUACCUACUAUAUACUUAUUAUUAGACAUUGCUGUACGUGUCCCCUAAAGCAUCUCUGUACUAUGUAAAGGGAAGUGAAUUCCAAUAAAGAAGUCAAUGCCCAUCUUAAUUGUUUGGGGAGUUCUGUGAAACAGUUCUAACACGGUGGGCAAUUACACUCUGAGUGUUGAGUUAGCGAAAGCAUGGAUUACGAAG
Canis lupus familiaris (dog) is the source of this 1472-nucleotide long non-coding RNA. RefSeq lists it as uncharacterized. The record is from RefSeq and is a predicted model, not a curated record. The transcript is spliced from 3 exons. Lineage: Eukaryota; Metazoa; Chordata; Mammalia; Carnivora; Canidae.